UCGCAUACUAACUGCCACAUAGGAUGUGUCAUUUUUCGUUAAAGUCAACAUGACUUAACGGUUUUUUUAAUUUUUUGUUAGAAAAGUCGAGUACAGUGAGUUGACUGUAAGAAAAAAAAGUUCAGUUAUCCAUCUGUUGGUUGACAUAUAGUACAGUGACUUAAAAAAUAUUUAACCCUUGAAAUUGUUCAAAAGGGUCGGUCAAUGUUCUAUUGAAAUUCUU
Molecule: long non-coding RNA, 223 nt
Filed under: Panax ginseng (ginseng)
Lineage: Eukaryota; Viridiplantae; Streptophyta; Magnoliopsida; Apiales; Araliaceae
Description: long non-coding RNA (PGIN_LNC004182)
Source: RNAcentral